RNAcentral lists this ribosomal RNA (259 nucleotides) under uncultured bacterium. RNAcentral's name for it is "partial 16S ribosomal RNA". It matches the Rfam family "Bacterial small subunit ribosomal RNA", at positions 99 to 354 of the family's 1533-position model. The record is from RNAcentral.
CGCACGGGUGAGUAACACGUAUGGAACCUGCCCUAUGCAGGGGGAUAAGCGGAAGAAAUUCCGUCUAAUACCGCAUAACACCAUUUGGAGACAUCUCCAGGGGGUCAAAGGAGGCGACUCCGGCAUAGGAUGGCCAUGCGUCGCAUUAGCUAGUCGGCGGGGUAACGGCCCACCGAGGCGACGAUGCGUAGGGGUUCUGAGAGGAAGGUCCCCCACACUGGUACUGAGACACGGACCAGACUCCUACGGGAGGCAGCAG